This 301-nucleotide ribosomal RNA is filed under the name uncultured bacterium. Its description in RNAcentral is "partial 16S ribosomal RNA". It matches the Rfam family "Bacterial small subunit ribosomal RNA", at positions 509 to 809 of the family's 1533-position model. The record is from RNAcentral.
CAGUAGCCGCGGUAAUACGAAGGGGGCUAGCGUUGUUCGGAAUUACUGGGCGUAAAGCGCACGUAGGCGGAUCGAUCAGUCAGGGGUGAAAUCCCAGGGCUCAACCCUGGAACUGCCUUUGAUACUGUCGAUCUGGAGUAUGGAAGAGGUGAGUGGAAUUCCGAGUGUAGAGGUGAAAUUCGUAGAUAUUCGGAGGAACACCAGUGACGAAGGCGGCUCACUGGUCCAUUACUGACGCUGAGGUGCGAAAGCGUGGGGAGCAAACAGGAUUAGAGACCCGCGUAGUCCCUGUCCUUAUACA